UUCUGGCUCAGGAUGACGCUAGCGCAGCCUAAUACAUGCAAGUCGUACGGGAUGAGCCCUUCGGGGCUUUGAGAGUGGCGCACGGGUGCGUAACGCGUAUGCAACCAACCCCUUUCGGGGGACAGCCGGUGGAAACGCCGGGUAAUACCCCAUGGCAACGUCUAUGGACAUCCACUGACGUUGAAAGCUUCGGUCGGAGAGGGACGGGCAUGCGUCCCAUUAGCUAGUCGCGGGGCAACGGCCCACCGAGGCCAUGAUGGGUAGGGGAUCUGAGAGGACGGUCCCCCACGACUGGUACUGAGACACGGACCAGACUCCUACGGGAGGCAGCAGUAAGGAAUAUUGGGCAAUGGGGGGAACCCUGACCCAGCCAAUGCCGCGUGAGGGAAUAAGGCCCUACGGGUCGUAAACCUCUUUUGCUCGGGGACAAGGACGGCGUCGCGAACGCCGUUUGCGGGUACCGGGCGAAUAAGCAUCGGCUAACUCCGUGCCAGCCGCCGC
This 501-nucleotide ribosomal RNA is filed under the name uncultured bacterium. RNAcentral describes it as "bacterial SSU rRNA". It matches the Rfam family "Bacterial small subunit ribosomal RNA", at positions 17 to 518 of the family's 1533-position model. The record is from RNAcentral.